This 920-nucleotide ribosomal RNA is filed under the name uncultured cyanobacterium. RNAcentral's name for it is "bacterial SSU rRNA". It matches the Rfam family "Bacterial small subunit ribosomal RNA", at positions 49 to 1010 of the family's 1533-position model. Lineage: Bacteria; Bacillati; Cyanobacteriota. The record is from RNAcentral.
CUACCAUGCAGUCGAACGGAAUCCUUCGGGAUUUAGUGGCGGACGGGUGAGUAANACGNUAAGAACCUGCCUCUAGGACGGGGACAACAGUUGGAAACGACUGCUAAACCCGGAUGAGCCGAAAGGUAAAAGAUUUAUCGCCUAGAGAGGGGCUUGCGUCUGAUUAGCUAGUUGGUAAGGUAAAGGCUUACCAAGGCGACGAUCAGUAGCUGGUCUGAGAGGAUGAUCAGCCACACUGGGACUGAGACACGGCCCAGACUCCUACGGGAGGCAGCAGUGGGGAAUUUUCCGCAAUGGGCGAAAGCCUGACGGAGCAAGACCGCGUGGGGGAGGAAGGUUCUUGGAUUGUCAACCCCUUUUCUCAGGGAAGAACAAAAUGACGGUACCUGANGAAAAAGCAUCGGCUAACUCCGUGCCAGCAGCCGCGGUAAUACGGGGGAUGCAAGCGUUAUCCGGAAUGAUUGGGCGUAAAGAGUCCGUAGGUAGCCAUUCAAGUCUGCUGUUAAAGAGCGAGGCUUAACCUCGUAAAGGCAGUGGAAACUGGAAGGCUAGAGUGUAGUAGGGGCAGAGGGAAUUCCUGGUGUAGCGGUGAAAUGCGUAGAGAUCAGGAAGAACACCGGUGGCGAAGGCGCUCUGCUGGGCUAUAACUGACACUGAGGGACGAAAGCUAGGGGAGCGAAUGGGAUUAGAUACCCCAGUAGUCCUAGCGGUAAACGAUGGAAACUAGGUGUUGCCUGUAUCGACCCGGGCAGUGCCGAAGCUAACGCGUUAAGUUUCCCGCCUGGGGAGUACGCACGCAAGUGUGAAACUCAAAGGAAUUGACGGGGGCCCGCACAAGCGGUGGAGUAUGUGGUUUAAUUCGAUGCAACGCGAAGAACCUUACCAGGACUUGACAUCUCUGGAAUCCCGCCCAAAAGGUA